RNAcentral lists this ribosomal RNA (901 nucleotides) under uncultured Bacteroidota bacterium. Its description in RNAcentral is "bacterial SSU rRNA". It matches the Rfam family "Bacterial small subunit ribosomal RNA", at positions 1 to 916 of the family's 1533-position model. Lineage: Bacteria; Pseudomonadati; Bacteroidota. The record is from RNAcentral.
GGAUCCAGACUUUGAUCCUGGCUCAGGACGAACGCUGGCGGCGCGCCUAACACAUGCAAGUCGAACGAGAGAGAGGGAGCUUGCUCCCUUGAUCGAGUGGCGAACGGGUGAGUAACGCGUGAGGAACCUGCCUCAAAGAGGGGGACAACAGUUGGAAACGACUGCUAAUACCGCAUAAGCCCACAGCUCGGCAUCGAGCAGAGGGAAAAGGAGCAAUCCGCUUUGAGAUGGCCUCGCGUCCGAUUAGCUAGUUGGUGAGGUAACGGCCCACCAAGGCGACGAUCGGUAGCCGGACUGAGAGGUUGAACGGCCACAUUGGGACUGAGACACGGCCCAGACUCCUACGGGAGGCAGCAGUGGGGAAUAUUGCACAAUGGGGGAAACCCUGAUGCAGCGACGCCGCGUGGAGGAAGAAGGUCUUCGGAUUGUAAACUCCUGUUGUUGAGGAAGAUAAUGACGGUACUCAACAAGGAAGUGACGGCUAACUACGUGCCAGCAGCCGCGGUAAAACGUAGGUCACAAGCGUUGUCCGGAAUUACUGGGUGUAAAGGGAGCGCAGGCGGGAGAACAAGUUGGAAGUGAAAUCCAUGGGCUCAACCCAUGAACUGCUUUCAAAACUGUUUUUCUUGAGUAGUGCAGAGGUAGGCGGAAUUCCCGGUGUAGCGGUGGAAUGCGUAGAUAUCGGGAGGAACACCAGUGGCGAAGGCGGCCUACUGGGCACCAACUGACGCUGAGGCUCGAAAGUGUGGGUAGCAAACAGGAUUAGAUACCCUGGUAGUCCACACCGUAAACGAUGAUUACUAGGUGUUGGAGGAUUGACCCCUUCAGUGCCGCAGUUAACACAAUAAGUAAUCCACCUGGGGAGUACGACCGCAAGGUUGCAACUCAAAGGAAUUGACGG